UUUUAGCGGGCACUGGUAUUGACUAAAUGAAAGAUAACGGCUUGAUAGUCAAGCUUGGUAGUCCGGUCAGAUGGUCCCGAGUUAGACUUUCCAAGAUAUCCUAGCUCGUAAGUAUACCCGAAACGAGAAAGAAUAGAGACUAAAACCUAGUCAGGACCUGCACUCGCCUCUACUAGGAGGGGAUUCAUGAUGGUGGAUGUCCCUUCUUUCACUUCAGAAAAGGAGGUCCUCGAAUCCACCCACAUUAUCAUUUAGCAGAGAAGCAAGCAUACUUCAAUCAAUCGCGAGAAGAGUCCCUCUUAGGUAAGCAAGUAAAUUAUUAGGUAAAGGAUUUAUUUUAGUUAUGCGCUCACUAACACAACCUCAAGAUUAAGCACGGUUAGGACAUUUUCACUACAUAUUUUCAAGUAAGAGAUAUGUUAUGCCGAAUAAGCUUAGUUUAGAAAUUCUAUUUGAAAUAGAAGAGGUGUAAACAGAACUCCUAGGAAAAGAUCUAUUGUUAACCCUACUAUACUUACUAUAUAAAGCGGGUAAGAACUACACACCCUUUAUCCUUUCCCCCCGCUCUUAACUUCUGUCUGCCAUAGCCCUUUCUUCCUGGAGGGGAACUUAAACACUAUCUUUAUAUGUCCGGGCACUCCUUAUUAGCACUACCAACAAGACAGAAAAGAAAUAGAAUAGGAUAGCCUAAGUGGCUUUUGCCCUCGAAAGCUGCUAUAUCUAUCCCUGUAGGAUUGAAAGAAUAGGUAGCCCUAUUAAUCAGAUUAGAGACAUCACCUAGUGAUCUUGCUGGCUUUCAAACAUCAACAUCAACACCUGUCUCUACAGGAAUCUUUCUUACCAGACCAGGAAGCAAUCCUAGACUCGAAUCGAAGGACUGCAAUUGGAUGGAAUUAGAUUAGCACUCACCAUAAGCAACCGCAGAGAAAGAAACUGACUGGAAAAAAAAACAUUCAUCCCCCCUCUUUAGGAAAUAAAACACUUAUACAAAUGAAAGAGUAAAGCGACAUCCAAUUCGAUGUGUUACGCACAGUGGAGAUUUGCCAAAGAAUAGGAAUCGAGUGAAGAGAAAAUGAAUUUCAAUUCCGAGUCAACCUACUCGGAAUCAGCCGUAAUCCGAUCGAAAGCCUUCGUGCUCCUUCAAUUCCGAGUCAACCUACUCGCAAUCAGCCGUAAUCCGAUCGAAAGCCUUUGUGCUCCUCAAACUCCGACUCCCAUUCCAACUUUAACUCCAAGUCUGAUUCAAAUCUACUUUCUUCUGCUUUGAUACUUUGAUAAAAGGUGGCCUUUCUUACGGGUACCUUAUGGGAUCGAAUGAGUCGCUUGAGAGGUAAUUCUUACGCUUUUAUUAAGGAACGAGGAAUAAAUGGAUCAGACAUGCGAGUGCUUUCCGGGAAGGCAGGUUCGAUAGAAGAAGGGCUAAAGAUAAACUUCCACAUUUGCGUAUAGCAAAGGUUUUUAAUCCAUGCUUGGUAGGAGUUCAUUCAGUGAUCACAGGAUAAGGAGUAAGUCAAAUAAAUGAUAGAUGCACAUCUUAGUAAUUGACAAUAUAUCAAGUCUGGUUUUUAAUCCAUGCUUGGUAGGUGUUCAUUCAGUGAUCACGGGAUAAGGAGUAAGUCAAAUAAAUGAUAGAUGCACAUCUUAGUAAUUGACAAUAUAUCAAGUCUUGCAGGUAUAGCUAGUCUUUGUAGUUGAAGCCCCAAAUCCGCGCUUUCUUUAUUCAACUGAAAGGAUUGAACUCACGUCCAGCUCGGAAGUCAAAGGGAAGAAAGACUACUUUUAUUCCGCUUCCUAUCAUCUCUUCUAGGAGUUUCGCAUGUAGCAAGGGAAGGGACCUUAGUGAAUGCAGAAUUGAUAGCAGUGAGUGAGUCCUUGAAUUGAAGGUCGAUGAAAUUGAGCUCUGAUGGACUUAGGGCAUAAAGAUAGAGCCCAGGCCCUGGAUAGGAUUAUAGAGGAGUAUUCAAGAGUUCUUAACCUUCUUAGCCAAUUCAUUCCAUGCAAAGGGAUAAACGCCUUCUACCUAUAGUAGCGAAAGCUAUCAUUAUUCUUAUGGAGAAAUAGAAGUAGCAAAUAUUGCAAUACAAAGUAGUUUGCCCUAUCCUACUCCUAUUAGGUGUGGUAUUCUUAGAUUUAGGUAAAGUAUCAGCACUCUAGUAGUCAAACUCUAAAAGAGGACAUACUAGAUCGAUUAACUAUAGUUAUUCUAAGACUUUUGAUAAGAAACUAUAUUCCGCAUUCCGCUUCGGAGAAUCUCUUGUAGAUCAAUGAAAGCAUGAAAGGGAAAUCAAGAAAGGAAGGCAUAUAGCGCGUGAAGGAAGGGAGUAUAUAAAUUGAUAAGGAGAUGGAAAAAUGCCUAUAAGCCACUCCUUAACCCUUAAGCAGUGGGCUCAAAAAGGAAGCAGGAAAGAAGAUCCUAGAAUAGGUCUAGUGUUAAAAGGCAGGUGCAAAGCGAAGCUCCAAGUAUGGAAGAACUAGCUUUACCAGUAAAAGUUCUUUGGAACAAGAACUUCUAUCACUGCGUUUGUCAAUCCAGCCACUUCCUUCAAUAAAUGGUAUGGCAUUCCCCUUAUUGAAUAUCCAUGCAUCUCUGGAAGACAGUCCAGUCAAAGAUGUACGGUUAAGUAGAUCACAGGCCAGGUAGAGCUCGGCAUCAAAGAAAUAAUACUUAUAUUCUGAUGGGUUAUCUCAGAAAGAUUACUUUUAUUCUGCUUGCUAUCAUCUCUUCUAGAAGUUUGGCAUGUAGUAAGGGAAGGGACCUUAGUGAAUGCAGAAUUGAUAGCAGUGAGUGAAUCCUUGAAUUUAAGGUCGAUGAAAUUGAGCUCGAACGAAGCUAGAGGCGAACAAAAUUAGCUAUUAAGCUAGGGUUAGACUAAGAAGAAUCUUUCGACCGUAAUUUUGCUCAAUGAAAUAAACUAAGGGUUUUUAUAUAGAAACUAUGGGCCUUAGCGAGAAGUGGCACUUCAGCAAUAGGAUAAAGCGAGAAUGAGUAGGAGUGAUGUUAUUAAGACCACACUUUCGACGAAUGACCUUAGCAGCCAAUCAGUCAAUGGAAGGAGUUGGGAUUCAAUCCACUAGUUGCUUUCAAGCAUAGUUUUUAUUUACUUCAAGUGCCAAGUACGAGUCCUAAACGUCCAGGCACUGAAGGCAGCUUUUACUAACAAUGUUAGGGAAAUCCUGAGAAGAGGUAUGUAAGAUCCGUGGAUUCUAUCGAAGUAAGGACGGUUCAAAAGCAAAUACGACCAGUUCGAAACCUAUGCUUAUUGAGGUAAGCGCUUUCUUUAGCAGUGAUGUAAGAAAUUCGGUAGUACUUAUAUCAAAUAUCAAAUAUAGAAAGUCUUGCAGGGCGGUUAAGCCUAUUCGUAGGAAGGUAGGGAUACGUGGUUGAAGGACCAAGUACGGAAAGAAGUCAACCAAUGGAAUAGAGUCCUUAAGCCAAGGGUUCUUUACCUGGGGGGUAUCAGAGCGCCAGAACCGAUGAUAGUCCCUCUGCUUAAUUAGCUAUUGUCUCCCCUAGGGUUCGGUUCGUCAACAAAGGUAUAGUAGUCUCGGCCCUUUCUUUCCUAUUUUAUGGAUAGGGCCUAGAGGUAGUUGGGGAUUACGGUUUUGGUAGAGAUUUGAGAAUACAUAAGCUCAUAUUCCUGGAGGCUCCUUUUGUACACCGAUUCUUUGGUCUUCUGAACAUCAGUAACAAAAUUAGAAAGACCAACAUGGUCAAUAGGUGUUGUUCUUUCUACUUCCUAUACUGUCGGUUCGGGAAGCCAGAUGGGUUUGAAAUUCAUGAAAAAGGUCUUACCAAUAAGCAAAACAAGGACACAUGGCAGACUCACCGUCACUUCGCUUUCAUAGUGGCGUUUCUAGGGAUCAUGGUCUUCAUAAACAAAGAGAAUAUGAUUUACAUUCAUACAGCUAGGGUCGUACAGGUCCUCACUACUAAAGAACAUCACACUCUAUCCCCAACCAUUCUAUCAGACAUUUACCGGCCGUUGACUUCGUGUAUGUCUGGGCCAAAAUUCUUUGAAGGGUGCCAUAUUUUGUUGCAAAUGUGGUUAAUUAAACAUCUCUGGAAACACCCCAAGUUCAUGCGGUAUGGUCUGAGCAAGAACAAUGUCACUGAGAGUUAUGAAGAAAUUGAUAAAAGAUUAUAAUUCUCCAGAAGAGGUGGAAGCCUGGAUAUCCUACCUAAGAUUUUUAAGUGCAAGUCAAAUUGAGUGGACUUUGGGAUGGCUCCCCGUAAGAGAGGUGAUAAACAUGUCGGCCUUAAAGAGUUAUUUGCAACUAUUGGGUUUGAGAAGUGUCUAGUCGUAUGCGCCACAAAGAGUUCUAAGACAGUUAGGAAGAUACCAAGUGGUACCUAAUGAUGAAGAUUUGAGUGUGCAAAUGAUUGAGUUACACCCCAAAGCCCCACUCCCAGAGGCUUUAAUACAACAAAUUUGGAAUAGUUGUCGCUACUUGAAAGAUGACACCCAAGUUCCAAAUCCUGCAAAAGGUUAGAUAGAUCCGGGUUAUGUUAGGUGGUUUGAGAAGAGAUCUUGCAUGGAUUAUGAGCCAACACUCGAGCCCGAAAGGCCCGUAAAAAGGCUGCAUGUUCAAGCCUUUGAUGAUAAAAUCCAAGAACGGUUGGCUUGGGGUGAAAAAGAAAAGGGAUACAAAGCAACUAUUCAUGCCUUAGAAGAAAGCCUUAGAAACCUCAAUUUUGAGAAAGACUUAGAAGCACAAGAAGCAUAAGGUGAAAUAAUAGUCUGAUUCGCGAGAAUGAAGCCCUCCGUCAUCGGCUUCAAUAGAUGAAGAAAGCCUCUGAAGGGCCAGUGAGUAGUUGGAAAGACCAGAGAACCAUUGCCAAUCUGAUAGAAAAGGUGCAAGAUUAUGACUUCAUCUUGGAAAAGAUAGAAAAGGCAUUCGACAAUGCUAAGGAAAAAAUCAUACAGUUAAAUGAGGAGGCCAAAUAUAGCAAGGAUCUCUAAAUGACAAAGUUUGAAGAAGAUAGGGCUCAAUUCGAGAGAGAGAAGGCCCAUUGGGUACGUUCAGAAGCUCAGCUCCAUGCACAGUUUGAAGAAAUAAGAAGGUAGAAAAGAGAAUAUCAGCAUGCAGAUAUUGGUAGGGACAGGGCACAGGCGAGACUCGAGCAGGGUAGACUUCGGGCUUUGUUGGAUUCAGCUCUAGAUCGUGAGGGCCACAUAAGAGGGAUAGCCACCACUCGCCAUUAGCAGUUACAAGAUCGAGACUAAAUUUCCAAUACUUCAGAGAGCAAGUCCAUGAUUUGGCUGUUUAUGUAGCUCAAAGUUGUGUGAACUGUCAAGGGAUGGAUUAUGAGAAGUAUUUGGAGCAUGCACCACUUUUGCCCGUCAUCUUGCAGCAGAGUUAGAGAGGAUGUAUCGUACAUUGGGGGUCAUCCAGGUCAAGCACCACCAUGAGUAGAUGCUCCAGUGGUUGAAAGCAAAAUGAUUAUGUUGUAACAUAGCCAUAGUUGUUAGUAUUUUCCAUAUAGCAGUUAUGUUCUAGUUGGAGUCAUUGUUAAGUCCUUUAAAUCAUUAUUUUAGUCUUUUCAAAGUUUGUUCAUUCAUGUUCGAUGAAAUGUCCCUUUUGUCAUUGUAUUUUUAAUUGUUUCGCUUUGUUGAAAAAACUAUUGUACUUUUAUCCUGAACUAUAUAAUGGUCAGAAUCAUGCGGCGUCAUGAUACGUAAGCAAUCCUUAGUGAAUGCAAUCAUGCCAUAAUUAAUCUAAAAAAAGGGGCCGUCAAAUUUAAGAUGUAAAUAAACUAAUUAACCAAUAGCCAAAUGAAGCAUGAAGUCUUCCAAACUCAUUCUAGAAAUAAAAAUGGCAUUAGGUGCAUGACAUACAAUAUGUGAUUAAUAUCUGCAAAAUGCCUAACUCUAACACGUUUGUUGUUUGUCAUUCUAAAGAGAUAAAGUUAAAUAGAGGUGGUUGGUUUGUGGUUUAAACUGGCGACUCACCCUUACAACACGAGAUCAAAAGGAAAAAGUAGAAUGUCAAAAAACAGUGAGAAUCAAUCAGAUAAUGAUAAUUUCCAUGGACAAUUGGUCGAACAAGGUUCGGGACAGGUUGAAGAAGUAAAAAUGUUAAAACAACAAUUGGUAGAGUGACCCCAACAUUGUACCAACCUGGUUUCAACCCAAGCAUUAACCUUCCCAAUAUCCCCAGUGACCCCAUUCCACGUCCUCCAACCGCACCCCUCAGAAAUGACCCACCUACUAUACCCAUUGUCCCUACUUUCACCGUUCCAAACCGACUCUUGCUCAAAAGCUCAACAAUGAUCCAUAUCUGAAUGCUCAUGAUGCCCAACAUUACUGUCCAGAACUCACUUUCAAGGUUUCAGAUUCAUACAAGCACACUUAUCAGAACAUGUUCCCAGUUGAGAUCAAAAAGCUCGAAAAGAAUAUGGAACAUGAGGAAAUGACCAGAAAAAUGAAGAGCUUGGAACAAACCAUGAGAAACAUACAGGAUUUGGGAGGCCACAAGAGUGUUUCGUUUAAUGAUCUAUGCAUUUUCCCCCAUGUUCAUUUUCCACCGGGCUUCAAUACCCCCAAGUUUGACAAAUCUAGGAGGCCACAAGAGUGUUUCUUUCAAUCAUUUAUGCAUGUUUCCCAUGUUCAUUUGCAACCCAUAUUCAAGACCCCUAAGUUUGACAAGUAUGAUGGUCACAGUGAUCAUGUGGCCCACUUGAAGUGAUAUUGGAACCAAUUGAGGGGAGCAUGAAGCAAAGAAGAAUUACUCAUGGCUUAUUUUGGGGAAAGUUUGACAGGAAUUGCUUCAGAGUGGUUAAUAGAUCAAGACAUAUCUCACUAGCAUGUUUGGAACAACAUGGCUCAAGAUUUUGUCCAACGAUUUCAGUACAAUAUUAAUAUAAUGCAAGACUGCUCCUCUCUUGUCAACAUAAAGAAGAACCAACAGAAAGCUUUAGAGAAUAUGCAAUCAAGUGGAGAGAGUGGGCUGCUAAGGUCAAACCACCAAUAAAAGAGGCAGAAAUGAUUGACUACUUUCUCCAAGCUCAGGGUCCUGAUUAUCUCCACUAUAUGUUGGCCACCAUUGGUAAACCUUUUGCCGAGGCGAUUAAGAGUGGGGAAAUAGUUGAGAAUGGCAUGUAGUCAGGCAAAAUUGUAAGUCAAGAAGCCCUAAAGGCGACCGAGCAAGCAAUUCAAAGCGGGUCAGGCAGUUUCAGAAAUCGAAUAAAUAAGGAGGAAGGAUCCAUGAUGGCCUCUGGGUUCGGGUGAGUUCAAAGAGGUAUAGUUCCUUCGUACAUGCAAUUCCAACAAGUAGAAUCCAAUUCUCCUCAACAUUAUUAUCCGUCUCAGGGUCCCCGGUACUCAGUUCCCUCGCAACAAUACACAUUGUUUAAUGCUUAGGCUUAUGCUAGGCCUCUCAAUCACCAACAACGGCAAGCAAUGAUUCCACAAGCUUCCAUCAACUCUAGAAAAAUUUUCAGGCGCCAUAUAAUCCUCAUCCAAGAUAGAAAUAUGUGAGAGAACAAGAGCCAAAGAAAAUUUUCACCCCGAUUGGAAAAUCGUAUACAAGCCUAUUCUGAAAGUUGAUGCAGCUGAAGUUGAUUGAAUAUAUCAUGCCGUAUUAUGUGAAUCCAAAUUCAAAAGGAUUUGACUCCAAUGCGAGAUGUGAGUAUCACUCUAAUACCCAAGGUCAUAGUACGGAACAUUGUUGGACAUUAAAGAAAGCCAUUGAAAAUUUGAUUGAAGCAAAGGCAAUUGUGGUGGCAACAAUGAAGAUAUUCCUAAUAUCACAAAAAAUCUGCUUCCAACUCAUGAUAAUACACAUUUUAUUGGGAUGAUUUUUCAUCAUUGGGAUUAUAAGUUGUCUGGUAAGACAAAGAUGAUUAUUGGAACCAUAGAGCAAAAAGCCAAAAGUGAUAGUAAGCUCGCUGCAACUGGCACCGUUGAUUGUGAAACGUGCCAGUUCUAGUUCAAACUUGGAAGGUUCAUAAAAGAUGGUUCUCUAUGUCCUUGGAAGCACAAAGAAGAUUGAAGUUCAAUUGGGUGGUCCAAAACUUUACAUCCUUGGAGGCAUUCAAAAGAUUGUUCCUAAUAAUUCUUUGAGAAAUAUAAUAGAACCAGUUAUGAUACGACAUGUCCCACAACUUCCAUUGUCAAACACAAAAGCUAUUCCCUGGAACUAUAACAAGAUUGUCAUGACAUACAAUGGAAAAGAGAUAGUGGAAGAAAUAGAUGAAAUGGUAGGCUCGACCUGCUCUGGAAGGUGCUACUUGCUAGAGGAAUUGAGAAAAGCUAAGCAAGCCAAGGAAAAUCACUUUCCAGUGAAAGAAACCGUUUCAGAAAAAGAAGCGGAGGAAUUCCUUAAGAAGAUGAAAAUGCAAGACUACUCAAUCAUCGAUCAACUAAAGAGAACCCCUACUAAGAUAUCAUUGUUAUCUCUGCUUUUGCACUCUAAAGAACAUCGUCGCGUGUUGAUCCAAACUUUGGACGAGGCAUAUGUCUCAGAAAAGACAACUGUGAAUGAACUAGAAAAGAUGGCUGAAAGAUUCUUUGAGGUGAACAAAAUCUCUUUCAGCGAUAAUGAUUUUCCUGAGGAAGGGGCCGGGCAUAAUGAAACUUUGCAUCUUAUGGUCAAAAUGUAAUGGGCAUUACGUAAAAGGAGACACGAUUGACGGAGGCUCAAGCGUAGAUAUGUGCCCUCUUUCUAUUCUACAACAACCAAACAUUGACAUUAAUAGAAUUCAAACUAGUACUGUCAGCAUCAGGGCUUUUAAUAGUUCAGAAGGAGACAAUAUUUGGGAAAUCGAGCUCACCAUGAAAAUUGGCCCGGUUAAUUUUAUCAUUGUCUUUCAAGAGUUGGAUAUGAAAACUUCUUAUAGUUUUCUUCUGGGAAGGCCGUGGAUCCAUAUGGCCAGAGCUAUACCAUCCACCCUACAUCAAAUGGUCAAAUUCGAGUAUGACAGGCAAGAAAUGUUGUUCAUGGAGAGAAUGACUCAUCCGUCUAUAAUUACCCGUCCAUUCCAUUUAUCGAGGCCAAGAAAGGAUGUGAAUCCCUCAUAUACCAAACAUUUUAGGUGAUUAAGGUAGACCAAGUGGAAGAAGAAAAACCAAUUCUGCAUCCCUUCUUUCAUCCUCAUCUAUGAUGGCAGCUUCGCUGAUGUUAAGGAAUUGAUAUGAACCCAGGAAAAGGAUUAGGAUCCUUUCUGCAAGGAAUUCUGAACCCCAUUGCUGCCUUUACAAAGAAAGAUACCUUUGGCUUGGGUUUUAGACCAACAUUAGCUGACAUGAAGAGAUCCAUGGCUCGCAAAAAAAAUGGUUGGAAAUUGUCAAAACUAAUCCCUCACAUUGCCUACUCUUUUGUCAAGCCACAAUUUGAAGAAGUCCAAAUCUUUCUACUUAAUAUGACAUUGAUGAAGUUUUCCAGGGUCUCAAGGAGAUGUUCUAUGGAAUCAAUAUGGUUCAAGUUGGUGAGGGCUCUCGCCGUGCAAGUGUUAGCUGAUUGGUCCAGAUAUCUCGCUCAACAACUCGGAAGCAACUCUUCUUCCCAUCAAGAAAGAGUCUUGGUAGUCUCUUUUGUUACUUUUUCUAUAUUUGGAUUAUUUCAGGGUUGUAAUCCAUGUAUUUUAGUUCAAUAGCUUGCUUUGAUGUUAACCCUUCCACCCUUUCCAAUUCAACGAAAUGAAGUUCCAGUUUCAUAGUAGAAUUCUGUCUUUUUCUUUCGCUAAUUUUUGUUAAUUUCUCAUCAUUUUCAGUUUUUUUAAUGCUUUCUCUAAAGACAUGACAUGCCUGCAUAAUUCAUGCCCAGAUCUUAAAAAAGUUGUCUAAUCUAGAAAUAAUGAAUCAAGAAGUUGAGUAUGAUGAUGAUGAGGCUUUUAAAAGAAUUGGAUCAAUUUGAGAAUAAGCCUAAGCCUAACUUAAAUGAAACUGAGGCAAUUAACCUGGGAGGUCCUGAAGAAAUUAGAGGAACAAAAAUAAGCAUUCAUAUUUAACAAAAGACGAGAGAUGCCAUAAUUCAAAUUUUGUUUUAGUGUAGAGAUGUAUUUGCUUGGUUGUAUGAUGACAUGUCGGGUCUGAGUGCCGUUUAAGUAGUUCAUAAACUUCCCACAUAUCCUAAUUUUCCACAAAUCCAAUAAAAAGAAAGGAAGUUUAAGACAGACAUGAGUGAUAAGAUUAUAGAAGAAAUCAUAAAACAACUAAGUGCAAAUAUGAUUAGGGUCAUCCGAUAUACCACAUGGUUAGCAAAUGUUGUGCAUGUGCCAAAGAAAGAUGGGAAAAUCAGAGUUCGUGUUGACUAUAGGGAUUUAAACAAAGAAAGUCCAAAAGACAACUUCCCCUUACCCAACAUUCAUAUCCUUGUUCACAAUUGUGCUAAAUAUGAGAUACAAUCUUUUGUGAAUUGUUAUGCCAGGUAUCACCAAAUUCUGAUGGAUGAAGAAGAUGCAGAAAAGACCUCCUUCAUCACUCCAUGGGAACCUAUUGUUAUAGGGUCAUGCCAUUUGGUUGAAGAAUGCAGGGGCAGCUUACAUGAGGGCCAUGACCACCAUCUUCCAUGACAUGAUGCUCAAGGAGAUUGAAGUGUAUGUUGAUGAUGUGAUUAUUAAAUCUAGAACACACGCGGAUCAUGUGCAAGAUUUGAAAAAGUUCUUGAAAGUUUACAAAGGUACAAUCUCAAACUCAAUUCAGCUAAAUGUGCAUUUGGAGUUCCUUCUGGGAAGCUUUUGGGUUUUAUAGUCAGUCAAAGAGGCAUUGAAUUAGAUCCCUCAAAGAUAAAAACCAUUCGAGAUCUUCCUCCCCCGAAGAAUAAAAAAGAAGUUAUGGGUUUACUCGGGAGAUUGAACUACAUCAGCAGGUUCAUGGCAAAACUUACAACCACAUGUGAGCCCAUUUUCAAGUUGCUUAAAAAAACGCUACUAUCAGAUGGACAGAUGAGUGUCAAGAAGCUUUUGAUAAGAUUAAAUAAUAUUUUUCAAAUCCUCAUAUUUUGGUGCCACCGGAAUCUGGUAGGCCUCUGUUUUUAUGUCUCUCAAUAAUAGAUAGCUCUUUCGGUUGUGUUUUGGGUCAACAUGAUGCCACAUGCAAAAAGGAAUAAGAAAUCUAUUAUUUGAGCAAAAAGUUCACUACUUAUGAGGCCAAAUACAUUCUUUUGGAAAGGACAUGUUGCGCAUUAACUAGGGUUGCUCAGAAACUGAGGUAUUAUCUUUUGGCCUAUACAACUUAUCUCAUAUCCCGAGUUGGUCCCCUGCAGUACAUUUUUCAGAAGCAUUAGCCAACUGGCAGAUUGGCAAAGUGGCAAAUCUUGCUCACAGAGUUUGAUAUUGUAUAUGUCACUCAUUGCCAUGAAGGCACAAGCUUUGACUGAUUAUUCGGCAGAAAACCCAGUUGAUGAUGAGUAUGAAUCUUUGAACAAAUACUUCCCAGAUGAAGAGGUUAAUUUAGUUGAAGAAGCAGUCCAAGAUGACAAUCAUGUUUGGAAACUAUACUUGGAUGGGCUAUCAACAUAAAAGGCGUCGGGAUUGGGGCAAUUCUUAUAUCACCUAUUGGGGACCAUUACCCUGCCAUGCGUGACUUUGUUUCUUCUGUCCAAACAACACGACAGAAUAUGAAGCUUGCAUAAUGGGUCUGAACAUGGCAAUAAACCUAAAUGUGCAUGAACGGUUGGUGAUGGAUGAUUCAGAUUUGCUUAUUCCGCAGGCUCAAGGUAAUUGGGAGACUCGAGAUGUCGAGCUCAUUACAUAUGGACUAUAGGUUGAAGAUAUUAGUAAAAGGUUCAAGUCCACCAAGUUUAGGUACAUUCCCAGGUUUCACAAUGAGUUCGCUGAUGCCUUGGCCACCCUUGCCUCAAUGCUUCAAUAUUUGGGUAACACUCACAUUGACCCAUUAGAAAUUAAAAUUCGGGAUCGACAUGGUUUUUGCAAUACAAUUGAAGCAGAACUAGAUGGUGAACUAUGGUAACGUGAUAUUAAACAGUUUCUGAAAAUAAGAGAAUAUCCAGAACGUGCUAAUAGGGGACAAAAGAGAAUUAUUAGGCGACUCUCUAAUGGUUUCUUUUUGAGUGGGGAAAUCCUAUACAAAAGAACCCCAGAUUUGAAUUCAUUGAGAUGUGUGGAAGUGAAAGAAGCUGAAAUGAUUAUGAAUGAGGUGCAUUCGGCAGUUUGUGGUCCCCAUAUAAAUGUAUAUGUUCUAGCAAAGAAAAUUCUUCGAGCAUGAUAUUAUUGGCUUACUAUGGAGCGAGAUUGCAUUCCUUUUGUUAGCAAGUGCCACCAGUGUCAGAUUCACAGUGAUUUGAUUCACUCACCUCCUUCAGAACUAUAUCCUAUGUCGGCACCUUGGCCUUUCGUUGCUUGGGGAAUGGACGUCAUAGGCCCGAUCAAGCCAAAACCUUCAAUGGACACAGUUUCAUUGCAAUUGAUUAUUUCACCAAAUAGGUGGAAGCUAUUACAUUGAAAGAAGUUACCAAGAAAGCAGUAGUAAACUUCGUUCAUUCCAAAAUCAUCUGUCGUUUUAGUAUUCCAAAAACCAUUAUUACAGAUAAUGCUGCUAAUUUGAAUAGUCAUCUGAUGAAGGAAGUAUGUGAACAAUUUUAAAUUGAGCAUCGCCAUUCUACUCCUUACCGACCCAAAGCUAAUGGAGUUGUUGAAGCUGCAAAUAAGAACAUCAAGAAUAUUCUUAGGAAGAUGUUCCAAGGGUCUAGACAAUGGCACGAGAAAUUGCCUUUUGCACUUUUGGGAUGCCGGACAACUAUCCAUACAUCAGUUGGCGCAAUGCCCUACUUGUUAGUUUAUGGAACUGAAGCAGUCAUACCUGCAAAAGUUGAGAUUCACUCUCUCCAAAUAAUUGUUGAAGAUGGGACUGAUGACACUGAAUGGGUGAAGUCACGAUUAGAAUAAUUGAGUUUCAUUGAUAAAAACUGUUGGCAGAAGUUUGUUUCGGUCAGUUAUACAAACAAAGAAUGGCACGUGCUUACAAUAAGAAAGUGCGCCCUAGAAAAUUAUAGGUAGGACAGCUUGUUUUGACACGCAUCUUUCCACACCAGGAAGAAGCAAAAGGAAAGUUUGCUCCGAAUUGGCAAGGUCCUUACCUCGUCAAGAAAGUAUUGUCGAAAGGAGCUCUACACUUGGCAGAUAUAGAAGGAAAGGUGAAAAACAUAUCCGUUAAUGCAGAUGCGGUCAAGAGAUACUAUGUCUGACAUGCUUCUAUUAGGGAAUUGGUCUAUACAUAGCAUUCUCAGGUUGAGAUGACGAAAGGCUAUCAUUAAGAGAUACUAUGUCUUACAUACUUCUGUUGUGGCAUUUGAUUUAUACUUAGCAUUCUCGGGUUGGGAUGACGAAAGGCUAUCAUUCUCGCUACCCAAACACUGGUGAACCCUAGUUAGCCCUUUGAAGCUUUGUUUAUGAUUCUUUUUUUUACCCUCUUUUGGAACCAAUGUACUUAAAUAAAAAUCAAAAUUAAAAAAAAUCAUCAAAACAGAGUCCCUGAACUAUGUUCAACUUGAUUCCGAAAGGAUACGUAGGGAGCCUUUCUCCGAGGUUCUGUCAGACCAAAUAAAAAUACACAUUUCCCCAAUAUUCAAAGAAACUGGGGCAUGUUUUUAUUUUAUUUUUGACAGCUCUUCCAUCAAAUGGUUCCAAAAGUUGUAAUUCAGUUGAGUAGUUCUUUUUACCUUUCCCUUUUAAGACCUUCUGAUCAGCUUUUGAGAAUGCUAAGUCAGUAUACUGGAGGUGAUGCUUCAACCAUUGCAAAGAGAGAAAAUAAAUGAGAGUCUUAUUGGUGAAAACCCUCAAGGGCACUAUAUGGCGAUGUUGAGUUGAUAAAAACAAGUGAAAGUGUCUUAUUGGUGAAAACCCUCACAGGCGCUAUAAGGCGAUGGUGAGUUGAGAAAAAGGCGAAUAAGAGAUUUCAAUUGGUGAAGACCCACAAAGGGCAUCGUUGAUCGAUUUUAAGUCUUCUUAAUCCCGACAUAAGCAUGUUUAAAGAACUCAGUUUCAUAGUGAAUUUUACAACAGAUUUUGAGAAUCGGACAGUUUAGACCGAUCGGGCAUCCAGCCCGAAAUGCAUGUCAUGUUCAUUGAAGUCAACAUAUUCCUCGAGAUAAUUCCUUUCUUAUUCUUCCCAUGAAAGGGACGCUUCUUGAUUAAGUUGUAAUGCUUAUUAGUUCACCUACUUGUUUUAUUUCGUACUAUUAUUUUUGAGUCUCUUUUAGUUAAAUUUUGUCAAAGCAGAACAAAGAAAAAGGCCACAAGAUUGGUCACAGUUUCCCCGUUGUAUGAAGAAAAAAUAUCAGGGCAUAAAUAGUAUGGGCAAAGCCAUAAAGCCGACUUUGAUUUUCCUUUCAAGCAAAAGGCUUGAAGGACUUAGCAAUGUUUCAACGGUCAACAAAAGUUACUCAUCGAAAGUUGUUUUGGGGAAAAAGGUUGUUUGCACCAUAGACACAAAUGGUGAUAGGGACAAAAUAGUAAGGUGUUGAUGUUGAGAAAGAAGAUAUUCGUAGAGUAAAGUCAGAAUCUCCCGGCAAUUUGUAUGAUCAUCGAGGGGGUCAGUUUUCCUGACAAGUGUAAUGGAUGCAAGGUCAAGUCGCCCAAGAAAUCAAGGCUACAAACUGACCACCAUUUUAAAACUAGCGAAUGUUUCUUUGUUUAGAACAGGAACAGAAUAGUUUAGUGAAACAGUUCAUGGAAAGACGAACACAACCAAGUGAAGUUCUCAAACCCAUGAUUUCCUUCCAAUAUGCACAUAAGCAUGUUAUUUUUUAGGGAUCAACACCCUAUCUUCAAUAAAGGGUACUACGUCCCCUGGUUGCAUUAUUUUCUAUAUAGGGUACGACAUCCCCUAGCUGCAUUUUAGAGUGCCACGAACCUCAUCUUAUUUCCAACACAGGGUACUACAUCCCCUGGUGGCUUUACUUCUUAUUGCAAACAUAGGGAUCGACAUCCCCUAGUUGCAUUUAAGAGUGCCACGAGCCUCAUCUUAUUGCCAACACAGGUUACUACAUCCCCUGGCUGCAUUAUCUUCUACAUAGGUUACGACAUCCCCUAGUAGCAUUUAAGAGCACUACGAGCCUUAUCUUAUUUCCAGCACAGGGUACUACAUCCCUUGGUUGCACUUCUUGUUGCAAACAUAGGGUACAACAUUCCCUAGUAGCAUCUCAGAGUGCCACGAGCUCAUCUUAUUGCUGACACAUGGUGCUACAUCCUAUGGCCGCAUUACUUUCUACCUACAUAGAGUAUGACAUCCCAUAGUAGAAUCUCAGAGCGCCACGAGCUUUAUCUCAUCGCCAACACAUGGUACUACAUCCCAUGGUUGCUUUCCUUCUUGUUAACACAGGAUACAUCAUCCCUUAUUAUUAAUAAAAGCGGAUGUUUUUCUUUAUUUAAUUUUUUUAUUUUUAUUUUUAUUCUGCAAUAGCAAAGAUAGUUUAUUGUGUUUUCAAUAAUUCACAAAACUUUCUAGUACAAACUGGGGCAGAAAAUUUUUGUUCGUUUUGUUUGUUUGUCAUGGUUUGUAGGUUUUUCUGCAAAGAACGCAUUGGAUGUGCCAAAAUAAGAUUUCAGUUCUAUCCAGAGAAAGUGGAACGUUUGAUCCCAACAAAAGCCGCAACUAGCUUUGACGUAAUGCAUCCAGAGACGUCUACAUGGUCAGGUUCCAUCUUCCAUUAUCCGAUCAAGAAAUAAGGCCGUGAGAAUAUUUCAUAGUCUGUUACAUCAAGGGCAUCAAGUUUCAAUCAAAAGUCAAAGCAAGUCAAGAAUCAAGACAAGACUCCCGGUAAGAAUUUUGUAACUCUAUUUCAAUAGUAUGUAAUUUUCUUUUCAUUUUGAUGUAAUAGUAGGAAUCGCGGAUUGGAACCUCGACGGAACUUCCAUCUACUCACCCUUUAAGAAUACUCGGUCACUAUCCUUCAACUUGAACUACACAGGACCUAAUUCCCUUAUAACCGGGGAUAUGUAGGCUUCCUAAAACUAAGGCUCUGUUGUGACCUCUUCUAUUCUCAUCUUAUGCUUUUUAAACAAUAGUGAUGUCAAAAAUCAGUCACCUUGUUCAUUUUUCUUUGCAUGAAAACUCUUCAUAUUUCCAAGCAAAGAGGGGCAUGCUGUGAACAACUAAUCUUUGACCAUAUUCAAAUUUUAUACUAUUUUAGCAUAAAUAUGUCAUUCAGGUCUAAUUUUAAAUAUUUAGAUUCAUAUUGAAUACAUUUCUUUUCUAUAUUUAAAGAGAUAAAGAAAAUUUACAAAAAAUAUUUAGUUUCUUUAAUUAGUAUUUUUAUAUGUAAGCUAUGGUAUUUUUAGUAUUAUUUAAAUUAUAUAUAAAAAUUUAGUUUUCUCAUUUUUUUGGUGUAAAUAUAGUUGAUAAAUAUUAUCUUUUUAAAAUUAUCUUAUCUUAAAAAAAAAAAAAAGAAGGGUAACUAACGAAAACAACAAGAAACAAAACAAAAA
RNAcentral lists this long non-coding RNA (16387 nucleotides) under Nicotiana benthamiana. RNAcentral describes it as "long non-coding RNA (NBEN_LNC010504)". The record is from RNAcentral. Lineage: Eukaryota; Viridiplantae; Streptophyta; Magnoliopsida; Solanales; Solanaceae.